UGUUAAUCAGAAUUUUUCCCUUCUCUGGU
This 29-nucleotide non-coding RNA is filed under the name Rattus norvegicus (Norway rat). Lineage: Eukaryota; Metazoa; Chordata; Mammalia; Rodentia; Muridae. The record is from RNAcentral.